Molecule: ribosomal RNA, 253 nt
Filed under: uncultured bacterium
Lineage: Bacteria
Description: partial 16S ribosomal RNA
Rfam family: Bacterial small subunit ribosomal RNA
Source: RNAcentral
UACGUAGGUGGCAAGCGUUAUCCGGAUUUACUGGGUGUAAAGGGAGCGUAGACGGCAUGGCAAGUCAGAUGUGAAAGCCCGGGGCUCAACCCCGGGACUGCAUUUGAAACUGUCAGGCUGGAGUGCAGGAGAGGUAAGUGGAAUUCCUAGUGUAGCGGUGAAAUGCGUAGAUAUUAGGAGGAACACCAGUGGCGAAGGCGGCUUACUGGACUGUAACUGACACUGAGGCACGAAAGCGUGGGGAGCAAACAGG